UCGAACUCCCGAUCUUCCCAUUUGUACCAUCUCAGUGGCUGGGAUUACAGCCUAUGUGUCACUACUCUGAUUUAGAAGGUGCUAGGAAUGGAACUCAUCAGGUUUGGCAUGCUAUGCUGGCAUUCUAACCACUGAGUUACAUACAGCAAACGUUUAUUUUAGGGUUUUUCAAGACAGGAUUUCUGUGUGUAGUCCGUUUGCCUCUGUCUCCAGAGUGCUCCCUUUCUUUCUUGAGACGAGGUUUUUCUAGUGUCCUGGCCUCAGACUCCCGAUGUAGGUGACAUUGACUUUGAACUUCAGAUCCUCCCACGUCUGCCUCCCAAGUGCUGGGAUCAUAAACAUGAGCCACCCCACCAGCUGUAUAUCUUAUGCAGUGUCUAAACCCAGGGAUCCCUGUAUGGUGAGCAAUUUGGUCACCGACUGGGCUACAUUUCCAGCCCCUUCUUAACCAUGUGUUAAUGUAAAACUCCAUGGCAGUAAACCCAUUGAUUCUCCUGUGCAAACAUUGCUUGCUAAUGCUUGCCUCCAGAACUCAGGCAAGGCUUGACCUCACUCUCUAACCCUAGCUAGUCUUGAACUUGGAACCCUCCUGAGUCCACCUGCUAAGUGCUGCUAGGAUCACAAGUAUGUACCACCAGGCAUGGAUCAGAAUUUCCUUUAUACGGGUAAUCGUCCAUUGUUUAGCACCUUGCGUGUGUGUGUGUGUGUGUGUGUGUGUGUGUGUGUGUGUGUGUGUGUGUGUGUGUCUAUGCUAUUCUUUCAUAGUGCUUGAGGUUGAUUUAUCUCUGUUUUCGUUUGUGGAUUCUCUGAAUUCUUUGUGGGCAAAGAUACACGGAAAGCAUGUGGCGCGGCACGUUUUAAAAUCCUAAGAGCUGUGCGAUCCCGGGUUCCAACAUUGAAAUCCAACUGUUUGUAAGAUGUUGACCAAAGCACUGCUGUAUCCUGUGUUUGUUUGUUUGCUUUUCUCUUUGUUUUUCCCAGAGCUCGGAGAGGAGCCCAGGGCUCCACGUGGUCUAUGCCAACGUGGCUCUGAUGAGCUGCAGCCUCACCCCAUUCCGACCCUUCCUUUGGACCCCUCCGCUAAGUUGCCUAGGCAACCAGCCUUGAACUCACUCCGUGGCCCAGCAGGCCUUGCGAGUAUGCUCCUCCUGCCUCAACCUCCCUAGCAGGUGGAUUUAUCAGCCUGUGAGGCCAACCUUGGCUCAAGAUGAAGCACUUAAAUUAUUUUAUCUGUUUGAAUGUUCUGCCUUCUUGUGCAUGCCUAGUGGCCUUGGAGGCCAGAGAAGGCAUUGGUUCUCGUGGGACUGGAACGACAGUAUAAAUUUUCCUCGUGUGUAUCACAAGCUGUCAUGCAUCACAAGAGCCUCCAUCUCAAGCAGGCUUGAGGAAUGAAUGGAAUGGAGUAGCCACAGGCAGGCCUUGGGGCGCUGGAAGGCAUCUGGUUUCUCUCAAACACUCCCACUCUAGUUGCCAGAAUUUUACCAUUUUCUUCAGCGCCUCAUACUUUAAGAUUUUAAGGAUCACGAUGCCGGAUCUGGUGGAUACUAUGCCUGAGCGGUGUCCCUUCGGCUGAGGCUAGACUGAACUGGAAUAACCUCACACUGCUGCUCCUGAUCAGACAAACUUCUUAGUCACAGACACAUCCUCCGUCUGCUCUCUUCCGACUACUUCCGGUGAGCCAACCUUGGCCUGGAGUCUGUCUUUGCUCCUAACUUCGCUUCGUUCCAAGACUGUAAGAACUGACUGCACUCUAGCACACUGUGUGUGGUUGGGAGAGGACCCAUUUCUCAUUGAGUCUGCUUUGGCAGAACCAUUUGAUUUGAUGGGCUACAGCCUGCACUCCCCUUCAGACAAAAUUUGCUAGGACCUUUGAGCCUCAGAGAACAGAGGCUAAGAAACUUAGAGCCUUAGAGAACAGAGCCCAACUUAAAAGUAGUCUAAAAAUGA
Molecule: non-coding RNA, 1947 nt
Organism: Rattus norvegicus (Norway rat)
Lineage: Eukaryota; Metazoa; Chordata; Mammalia; Rodentia; Muridae
Source: RefSeq, a predicted model, not a curated record